Molecule: ribosomal RNA, 194 nt
Filed under: uncultured bacterium
Lineage: Bacteria
Description: partial 16S ribosomal RNA
Rfam family: Bacterial small subunit ribosomal RNA
Source: RNAcentral
GCAACUCGCCUGCAUGAAGUUGGAAUUGCUAGUAAUGGCAGGUCAGCAUACUGCCGUGAAUACGUUCCCGGGCCUUGUACACACCGCCCGUCACACCAUGAGAGUUGGGGAUACCCGAAGCCUGUGAGCCAACUGUAAAGAGGCAGCAGUCGAAGGUAGAAUCAAUGAUUGGGGUGAAGUCGUAACAAGGUAUC